ACGUCAACCACCGGCCUAAGGAAAGCAGCGGGAAAGCUAAAGUGUGACGCGGCUUAAGCAGCUUGUCUGAGUUUGCACAGCUGGCAAAUGGCUGAGCCAUGACUCACACCCAGGUCCAUCCACCGCCAAAGCUCCAGAUCUCUGGCAUCCUUCUAAGGUCAGAAAGGGAAAGAAAUCCCUAAUAAGGAGCCUGUGUGACGGCGUGCCCCCCUCCACUUUCCCACCCCUGCCAAGGACCCGUUUGAAGGCUGUUCACGCCAGUCACUGCAAUCACCAUUGAGCACAGAGAUGACAGUUCCAGCAAGCACUGACCUUCCAGCCCACUCUGCGGAGGAGAAGACUGAGGGGCAGAGAGGCUGUUGAUUUGCUGCAGUUGACUCUGACCCUAAUUUCCCGGCGCUGACUCAAACUCAUCAGGAACACUGCUUUCACUGAGUGUAUGAAGUGGUUUCUCCAUCCGUGUGGCUUUACCUGAACUCACACCGGUCCCACGGCCCAGGUGUGGAGCCGAGCACUCCCCUCUGCCUCCUCCCUGGACUGCAGGACCUGUGUCUCGCUUUAUGAAAGAGAUGCCAUUUGGGGAAGACUCGCAUUGUCGGGAGCGCUGUGGACGCUCCAGAAGGAGAUCAACACGAUGAUGACGAUGCCGGGUGGAGGGAAUGUGCACUUCUCGGGAGGAGGAGCCAAAAGCAUUUUGCUGACCUCGGUGCAGAUCAACCCUGCAACAAGGUGCAGAAGAGGCACCAAAGGGGCUUUGUAGCCAGCAACAUGCCAGAUCCAUGCACCUUGUUGAUGCAGCCGACUCUGCAGGGGUGCAGGAGCCUCCUACUCACCUGGCCUCCACCGCCCACCCAGCACCCCUGGGGACUGUCCCCAUCCCCCCAGGGACUCCAGAGGGAAUGUGUUUUGUGCCGUGUGGAAAACAAGCCAUGCUCACUGCACACCACGACAGUCCCUUCAAGCUGUCAGAGUCCCUGCAUGUGGAGUGAAAAGGGGGAAAAAAGACAAUUUACAAUUGCAAAUUGGAACCCCUCUCUCGGAGUGGAGUGAUAAUCCAGCUAGGGAGACAGACGGUGAGGAAGUGCUCCAGGAACAUGUUACAACACAUCACUGCCUAGCAGAGACGAGAGGCUCCAGGAAGGACCUGGUGCCUGCCAUUCCAACCUUGAGGGGCUCCUGGAGGGACGCUGAGGACAAGGCGGCUGUCCCAUCACCUCACUCUUGUCUCUGCCCUCACCUCUCCCCACCGUGCAGGGCUCAGGACUACGGGCGCCCAGACACAAAGGCCCAGAGCCACAGAACAGUGAACUCCACACUGUGCAGCUGUUGGCGGGAGGGGCGGGGAGAGAGACCAGAGUCCCAUUUCUGCUGCCUUUUAAAUAAAAGACAAGGAGGAUGGCGA
RNAcentral lists this long non-coding RNA (1402 nucleotides) under Homo sapiens (human). Its description in RNAcentral is "long intergenic non-protein coding RNA 1345". The record is from RNAcentral. Lineage: Eukaryota; Metazoa; Chordata; Mammalia; Primates; Hominidae.